CCUGCACGAAAGGGAAACUGAGGCCUAGAGAGGCAGGGCCGAUCCGAGGUCACCCUGGCUGGGUUGGGCUGCCUGACCCUGACCUUGGGCUCUUCAGCCCUGCACCACACCCCUCUCUCGGACUGGGACCCAUGCACACCCCACCCUCUGGGCCUCCCUGGUCCUGUGUGAGCUCCAGCCAUGGCAGUGUCAGAGGCCGGAGCUCUGCAUCUGCUCUGGUGCUUCCUUCUGUGUAGCCCAACUUGCCCCAGCUCCCUGUUCCUCAGAUGCACCACUUAGACACGGGUGUCUCGGGUUCGAGAGGCUGUGCAUAGGGCACAGCUGCUCUGGGCAGGGAAGGGCUACUGCAGUGUGGGCCCCUCCUUCCUGGGCCGUCUCCUCCCUUAUGUCUCCUGAUGCCUCCCGUCCCUGUCCUCUCCAUCCACCUCUGUCCUCUGUCUCCCAGCCCAGACAUCCUCCUGGCAGGAGAAGGACCCUGUGGGGUGCGCUCUGCCCCUCACCCCCACCCCAGCCUGGGAUCUAAAUGCUCUGGAUGGGACAUCCAAAGGCGUGACCUCCUGUUGGCUCCCACGUCUGGGGCCACAUGUCCCCAGGUCCCACGUGCCCUGGCCAGCGCCCCUCGGGGCUCUCACCCGCCCUCCCUGACUCCCAGGGGAGAGUGUGGACCGCCCCGCCUGCUGCAGAGGCCCGGGCAGCCAGCCCAGAGGGCUCACCUCAUCUAUUUUUAAGCACAAGCCCAUGAAAGAUUCACAGGCUGCUUUAUUUACAGGUGGUGGGAAUGGCACUGCGCCCAGCACACCCACCAGGGGCCGGACAACCCGUUGGCCCGGGUACACUCUGCCCGAGAGCCCCAGGCAUGCCCGGCUUGGACCUCAGUCGCUCUGUGCAGGCUGAGAUCCCGGCACAGCCCGGCCUUUCCGUCCAGCCUCCAGGCCUGGCUCUGAUGUCCUCCCCGGAAGGAGGGAGCCCCUCAGGAGACCAUCCCGAGGCCCAGCUGUGCUGUGGCUGCCCCCUGGCCACACGUCCCAGUGUCUCCAGCUGCCAAGAACCUCUCCCAUUCCCUGGCUCUCGUCCCGGUGUCUCUCCGGGACAAGUGUUUGGGGAGAGGCCUCGUCAGGGCCACGAGCCCUGCCGGCGCAGAAGCUGCCUCCGGUCACACACUGGGCACAGUGAGCGUCGCGUCUCCACUUUACAGAUGAGGAAACCGAGGCUCUGGUGCUUUGGCUAAUUCAGGGUGUAAAGCCAGAUGGACUGGUCUUCAAAGCCUGGCUGCCCUGCUCCGCCAGUCCUUCCUGGGCCACACAGCGCUGGCUUCAUCUCUGCUUCCUGGAAUUGGAGAGGCUUGGCUGGUCCUUCCGUCCUCACCCGCUCCUGGGCUGUGGGCUCCCCGGGAGCCAGCUCAGCUCUCACUGUCACCUGGUGUCAUGCGCUGUCUGGCUGGGUCCCAGUAAAUGCCCAGGAGGACUCUCAGCUGUCCUUGGGCGGGUACAGCCGCAUGGCCACCACCGGCCCAGCACCCCCUGCCCCUGGUAGCUGAGGGCAUCUCAAGGGUCAGACAGGCCGCUGGCCAUCCCUACACAACAGAACCAGGCUCCCAGUCCCUCACGACACCCUUGGGAUAAACCCAGCAGAGCCCAUGCCAGCCCUCCCUAGGAGAGAAGCACUCAUUUUAGAGAAAAUCUCUUUUCUAGGCCGGGCAAGGUGGCUCACAUCUGUAAUCCCAGCACUUUGGGAGGCCGAAGCUGGUGGAUUACUUGAGGUCGGGAGUUUGAGACCAGCCUGGCCAACAUGAUAAAACCCCAUCUCUGUAUGUCUUGUAAUCCCAGCUACUCAAGUGGUUGAGGUAGGAGAAUUGCUUGAACCCAGGGGGUGGAGCUUGCAGUGAACUGAGAUCACGCCACUGCACUCCAGCCAGGGUGACGGAGCGAGACUCCGUCUCAAAAAAAAAAAAAGAAAAGAAAAA
RNAcentral lists this long non-coding RNA (1963 nucleotides) under Macaca fascicularis (crab-eating macaque). RNAcentral's name for it is "lncRNA (ENSMFAG00000054933.1)". Lineage: Eukaryota; Metazoa; Chordata; Mammalia; Primates; Cercopithecidae. The record is from RNAcentral.